RNAcentral lists this unclassified non-coding RNA (974 nucleotides) under Hevea brasiliensis (rubber tree). Lineage: Eukaryota; Viridiplantae; Streptophyta; Magnoliopsida; Malpighiales; Euphorbiaceae. The record is from RNAcentral.
GACCAUCCUUUCUAACACCUCCUAUUCUGUUACGAUUGAUAUACUAGAGAGAAAUGAGCACAGCAUGAUCCUUGCACAACAAGCUACACAUGAAUUACCAGAACACUAAUAUUUGAGAACUGUAUUUAAAUGAACCACAUCUACUAACCUGAAAAGUAUUAAAAGUAUGGGGAAAUUUAAUAUACAGUUUAACUGAUCCCCUAGAGUUGGACAGAACUAAAUGAUUAUAGACAAUGCUGCAUGCAUUGCCUACAUCUAUAGAGAGUCAUGCACCAUGUUGGAGUUAGUAUUGACAGAACCUCACACCUCCUGCAUUUGCACCAUCUGGAUUUUUUUAUUUGCUGUAGAUCUUUUGGCAGAGUGAAUAACAACUGCUCAUUCACUAGUUUCCAACCCACGAAUUCAAACAAAAAUAAGCUUUCAGGGCCUCAAUCUAUAUCUGAAGUCUACCAAACAAGUAAAAAUUUACAUGUGAAAGGAUUUGCAAUCAAUGAGCCCUCUCUUCAUCAUCAAAAUGUAGAGUCUCAAUUCCUUUGAGCGCCGAUUCAUAGUUCUUUAUCCCAGAAGUAUUCUUGCUAGAUGAGGCAUACCUAGGAUCAGAUGAUCCACCAAGUAGAGAGCUUCUAUGUCCACCUGAUAUUUUGUGCAUAGUUGCUGGACUUGCCUCAGGCGUGCGAGAAUGUGUAGGGUCAGAGUCAUUUCCCAUGGUGAAAGUCUCACGGCUGCCAGAGACUAGACCUUGCCUCAGAGACCCACUAGGUCUUCCCAGAAAACUGGAGCUUGACAACAUAGCCUCUUUGCUCGUGGAAUCAUUUCCAAUAGGACUUUUCUGCCUGGAUAAACUUCCAGAAGUAAUCAGUGGUGGCACAGGACUUCUCCUCCGAGAGGGAUCUGCUGAUUGUCUUCCUUCAUCUUCACCUGCCUGUCUUUCUGCCUUGGGAAUAACUGGAGGCAUGCCUGAGCUGGUUCCAGCA